RNAcentral lists this ribosomal RNA (252 nucleotides) under uncultured bacterium. Its description in RNAcentral is "partial 16S ribosomal RNA". It matches the Rfam family "Bacterial small subunit ribosomal RNA", at positions 80 to 334 of the family's 1533-position model. The record is from RNAcentral.
CCAAAAGCUGGCGACCGGCGCACGGGUGAGUAACACGUAUCCAACCUGCCUCAUACUCGGGGAUAGCCUUUCGAAAGAAAGAUUAAUAUCCGAUAGCAUAUAUUUCCCGCAUGGGUUUUAUAUUAAAGAAAUUCGGUAUGAGAUGGGGAUGCGUUCCAUUAGUUUGUUGGGGAGGUAACGGCCCACCAAGACUACGAUGGAUAGGGGUUCUGAGAGGAAGGUCCCCCACAUUGGAACUGAGACACGGUCCAA